Long non-coding RNA from Carya illinoinensis, 869 nucleotides. RefSeq lists it as uncharacterized. Lineage: Eukaryota; Viridiplantae; Streptophyta; Magnoliopsida; Fagales; Juglandaceae. The record is from RefSeq and is a predicted model, not a curated record. The transcript is spliced from 2 exons.
UUCCUGGGCUAUUCCACAACCCAGAAUGCAUACAAAUGCUUUGAUGUUCAAGCCCAAAAACUCUAUUUGUCCCGUCACAUUGUAUUUGCUGAAAAUCAACUUCUCUCUCAUUCUCAACAGCCUGAACCUUCAUCAUCCUCCCCGUCUGUCUCUACCAUGCCUUUCGGGUCACCCAUCGUAGAACCAGUACCAUUGCAACUCUCAUCAGCGCCUUCAGGAAGUCCUAAACAUCACACAUCACCUCCUGCUUCCUUGGCAUCAACCCAAUAUUUUGGAGUUCAAAGAAACAACGAGUUGUAGCAAGAUUAUCAACUGAGGCCAAAUACAAAGCUCUUGCGAAUGCAACUUCAGAGACUGUGUGGCUCUUAUCCUUAUUCAAGGAACUUGGUCUUCCACUCUUGGCUCCACCAAAGCUAUUAUGUGAUAAUUUGGGAGCAACAUAUCUCAGUUUUAAUCCAGUACAGCAUUCCUGAAUGAAAUAUAUACAAAUUGAUCUUCAUUUUGUUCGUAAUCUGGUUCAACGUGGAAUUCUCAAUGUCCAACAUGUCAACACUCAAGACCAGCUAGCAGAUCAUUUGACCAAAGCACUGUCACAACAAAGAACUGAAACUCUACGGAACAAGAUUGGUUUGGCCGAUGGCACCUCAAUCUUGUGGGGGCAUAUAAAGGAACAUUCCUCAAAUCAAGUAAAUGUAAAUUAGCAAGAUCGGCAAGCAAAUAAAUAGCCAAGAAUCAAGAUUGUCAAAUUUCUUUGUACAAUCUAGAAUUUUCUUUGUAUCCAUUAGUCAUAACUCUAGGAAACUUACUUAGAAUAAACUCUGUAAUUUUGUAUAAAUUUCUUUAUAUGAUCAAUUGAAAGUGUGUGAAUA